This 478-nucleotide ribosomal RNA is filed under the name uncultured bacterium. Its description in RNAcentral is "partial 16S ribosomal RNA". It matches the Rfam family "Bacterial small subunit ribosomal RNA", at positions 28 to 507 of the family's 1533-position model. The record is from RNAcentral.
GAUGAACGCUGGCGGCGUGCUUAACACAUGCAAGUCGAACGGGAAACCUUUUAUUGAAGCUUCGGCAGAUUUAGCUGGCUUCUAGUGGCGACCGGGUGAGUAACGCCUGGGUAACCUGAUCUAUACAGGGGGAUAACAACCAGAACUGGUUGCUAAUACCGCAUAAUCGCACAGGGCCGCAUGGUUCGGUGGGAAAAACUCCUGUGGUGUCGGAUGGACGCGCUUUGGAUUAGCCAGUUGGCAGGGUCACGGCCUGCCAAAGAGACGAUCCAGGGCUGGCCGGGGAGGGGGAACGACCACAAUGGGACUGAGACACAGCCCAGAAUGCUACGGGAGGGAGCGGAGGGGAAUAUUGCAGAAUGGGGGAAACCCUGAUGAAGCGACGCCGCGGGAAGGAAGAAGUAUCUCGGAAAGUAAAUUUCUAUCAGCAGGGAAGAUAGUGACGGUACCGGACUAAGAAGCCCCGGCUAACUACGUG